Molecule: transfer RNA, 88 nt
Organism: Aspergillus clavatus NRRL 1
Lineage: Eukaryota; Fungi; Ascomycota; Eurotiomycetes; Eurotiales; Aspergillaceae
Rfam family: tRNA
About the family: Transfer RNA (tRNA) molecules are approximately 80 nucleotides in length. Their secondary structure includes four short double-helical elements and three loops (D, anti-codon, and T loops).
Source: Rfam
UCCUCGAUGGUCUAACGGUCAUGAUUUCCGCUUGUCACUCGAAUGAGAACGAGCGCGGGAGACCAGGGUUCGACUCCCUGUCGGGGAG